This 429-nucleotide ribosomal RNA is filed under the name bacterium. Its description in RNAcentral is "partial 16S ribosomal RNA". It matches the Rfam family "Bacterial small subunit ribosomal RNA", at positions 355 to 776 of the family's 1533-position model. The record is from RNAcentral.
UAGGGAAUCUUCGGCAAUGGGGGCAACCCUGACCGAGCAACGCCGCGUGAGUGAAGAAGGUUUUCGGAUCGUAAAGCUCUGUUGUAAGAGAAGAACGUGUGUGAGAGUGGAAAGUUCACACAGUGACGGUAACUUACCAGAAAGGGACGGCUAACUACGUGCCAGCAGCCGCGGUAAUACGUAGGUCCCGAGCGUUGUCCGGAUUUAUUGGGCGUAAAGCGAGCGCAGGCGGUUUAAUAAGUCUGAAGUUAAAGGCAGUGGCUUAACCAUUGUUCGCUUUGGAAACUGUUAAACUUGAGUGCAGAAGGGGAGAGUGGAAUUCCAUGUGUAGCGGUGAAAUGCGUAGAUAUAUGGAGGAACACCGGUGGAGAAAGCGGCUCUCUGGUCUGUAACUGACGCUGAGGCUCGAAAGCGUGGGGAGCAAAUAGG